UACGUAGGUGGCAAGCGUUGUCCGGAUUUACUGGGCGUAAAGAGCGCGCAGGCGGUCUUGUAAGUCGAAUGUGAAAGCCCCUGGCUCAACCGGGGAGGGUCAUUCGAUACUGCUCGACUCGAAGGCAGGAGAGGGAAGCGGAAUUCCCGGUGUAGUGGUGAAAUGCGUAGAUAUCGGGAGGAACACCGGUGGCGAAGGCGGCCCCCUGGUUGGAUACUGACGCUGAGACGCGAAAGCGUGGGGAGCAAACAGA
RNAcentral lists this ribosomal RNA (253 nucleotides) under uncultured bacterium. RNAcentral's name for it is "partial 16S ribosomal RNA". It matches the Rfam family "Bacterial small subunit ribosomal RNA", at positions 524 to 776 of the family's 1533-position model. The record is from RNAcentral.